RNAcentral lists this ribosomal RNA (550 nucleotides) under uncultured bacterium. Its description in RNAcentral is "bacterial SSU rRNA". It matches the Rfam family "Bacterial small subunit ribosomal RNA", at positions 355 to 896 of the family's 1533-position model. The record is from RNAcentral.
UAGGGAAUCUUCCGCAAUGGGCGAAAGCCUGACGGAGCAACGCCGCGUGAGUGAUGAAGGUCUUCGGAUCGUAAAACUCUGUUAUUAGGGAAGAACAAAUGUGUAAGUAACUAUGCACGUCUUGACGGUACCUAAUCAGAAAGCCACGGCUAACUACGUGCCAGCAGCCGCGGUAAUACGUAGGUGGCAAGCGUUAUCCGGAAUUAUUGGGCGUAAAGCGCACGUAGGCGGUUUUUUAAGUCUGAUGUGAAAGCCCGCGGCUCAACCGUGGAGGGUCAUUGGAAACUGGAAAACUUGAGUGCAGAAGAGGAAAGUGGAAUUCCAUGUGUAGCGGUGAAAUGCGCAGAAAUAUGGAGGAACACCAGUGGCGAAGGCGACUUUCUGGUCUGUAACUGACGCUGAUGUGCGAAAGCGUGGGGAUCAAACAGGAUUAGAUACCCUGGUAGUCCACGCCGUAAACGAUGAGUGCUAAGUGUUAGGGGGUUUCCGCCCCUUAGUGCUGCAGCUAACGCAUUAAGCACUCCGCCUGGGGAGUACGACCGCAAGGUUG